This 1776-nucleotide long non-coding RNA is filed under the name Homo sapiens (human). RNAcentral's name for it is "HSALNT0042728". Lineage: Eukaryota; Metazoa; Chordata; Mammalia; Primates; Hominidae. The record is from RNAcentral.
UUCCAAGCAGCUGGGACGACAGGCGUCCGCCACUAUGCCCGGCUAAUUUCUUUUGUAUUUUUAGUAGAGAUGGGGUUUCACCGUGUUAGCCAGGAUGGUCUCGAUCUCCUGACCUCGUGAUCCGCCCAUCUCGGCCUCGCAAAGUGCUGGGAUUACAGGCGUGAGCCACCGCGCCUGGCCAGCACACACCUCUGUUUUAAAGUAAAAAGCACAAAACAAAGUAAAUCCAGAAAAGGAUUGCUUUCAUGUGCUUUCUACCCCAUUUCCUCCCUCCCUAUAUAAGAGGUAAUUGUUUUUGUCAGAUUUUGUCUCAUCCUUUCAUUGUUAAUUUUUGAAAAUAUAAGCAAAUACAAUUAUAUAGUUCCUUAACCAAAAGAUAGCACACAAUAAACACAGUUCUGCUCUGCUUGUAGGUUAGAAUUUUGAUUCCUGUUAAAUUGCAACUCUUCUAGGAAAAAUAAGGAGGUACAUGUUAAAUAAAGAGGUGCAUGUUAAACUAUCACUAGUUUCACACUUUGGUAGAAAUUAGUUUCCUUGUCUUUUUUGAGAGCUGGGAAGUGUCUGAAUGAGAUUGAAAAGUUUCCUUUGAGAAUAGGGAUGAAUUCAGGAAUCUCGGAGCGUCACAAGCAAACUUCACUUUUACUUGGCAUCAGAGGAGUGGGAAGGCAGGUGCUGGCAACCUGUUGAGGUGGCAAGGCUGCAUGGAUGAGUGCUCAAGUGCUGGCUUAUACAGUAUAAAUCCAGCUACUUUCAUUGUUAUAAAACUGCUGGCCAUCAGAGGGGGUAAUUAGAGUUUUAUGUUUUAGUUGGACUUCUCAGCUGAAUUAAAUGUGAUAAGGCUGUGCUUAUCACUCUUGUGAAAGUCAUUUCUACAAUAUUUACACAAACUCUAUGAGACUUAAAUCUUUUAUUGAUUUUCUGUUUGUCUCUGAUAAUGUUUCACUGAGAGGAAAUGACUGAGAUCCUGGAAUUCGCGUCUUUAACACAUGACUGUUCCCAAAGUCAUGAGUUGUUGUUGUUGUUGUUGUUGUUAACAAACCUCUUUAUUUCCUACAAUAAGUAUAUUCCAUCUUGCAUUUGCUUUAAUAGAUGAGAGUUUCCAAUGUCAUUAGUGAUUUUUAGCACUUUAUAGUACCAUCAUAUUUUUAUAACCAAGGCCAGGGAGAUGAAAGGGGUAUUGACAAUAUUUGUUGGCAUUGGUUGUUGUCUUUGUAACCAGAACUGCCUCUUUUAUUCUGUGCUUUUUCUAAUUAUUUCUGGUUAUGAUAAUGUUUUUCUUUGGCUUCUAGGGGGAAGUAUGUAAUGAUGUUUGUGACAAAAAAUAAAUGUGAUCAACUGGUAAAAACAGCCUGAUGUUGUGUCUUCAGUGAAUGUUCCCACUAGCCAGGCUGAGCUUAAGGUGUAUGGUCAACUAAACAAUCCAAAAACCAUGUAGCUCCACAAUAAUCAGAAAUUCUGGAUCCAGUAAAACAAGUCUCCUUUAAGACAUGGCUGAAUGCUGGAAGAAAGUAAAGAAAGUUCCUGGAGUCAAAGAUGAAGUGAGAAGGAAAAAUCAGAGCAGUGAGCCACAGACUGGUACAGGUCCGCAACCAUGGGGACCCCUGCAAACUGGAGAUCUUCUCUACCACCACCCUCACACACCCAACCACCCGUAGGUUGGGAGCCCCUGAAAUUCUUGAACUGUCAUGCCAUCCUAUUGACCACACUUGAUUGAAUCAGAAAUAAUCAACCAAGCUGAGUUACUUGGACACUUUCUCCUGGGAAUUUGGAAGCAGA